UAGCACUAUUGCCUGAGUCCUUGGUGCUCGCUGGCAGUAGCUGGAUUUUCUGUAGUGCAAUAGGAAUUCCUUGCUUCCAUAAGGACUUGUCCUGCUAUGGGCUGCUCCUCCCAACAGUUGGGCUUUU
This is a small nucleolar RNA of Manis pentadactyla (Chinese pangolin), 127 nucleotides long. Lineage: Eukaryota; Metazoa; Chordata; Mammalia; Pholidota; Manidae. The record is from RefSeq and is a predicted model, not a curated record.